Molecule: small nucleolar RNA, 77 nt
Organism: Nilaparvata lugens (brown planthopper)
Lineage: Eukaryota; Metazoa; Arthropoda; Insecta; Hemiptera; Delphacidae
Product: small nucleolar RNA snR60/Z15/Z230/Z193/J17
Exons: 1
Source: RefSeq, a predicted model, not a curated record
AAAUUGCAAAUGAUGAGAUCAUAGUUCAGUUGAUGAAACUGUGAUGAAUAAUCUUUCGCUCCUAUCUGAUGCAAUUA